RNAcentral lists this ribosomal RNA (1372 nucleotides) under uncultured bacterium. RNAcentral's name for it is "bacterial SSU rRNA". It matches the Rfam family "Bacterial small subunit ribosomal RNA", at positions 28 to 1381 of the family's 1533-position model. The record is from RNAcentral.
GAUGAACGCUGGCGGCGUGCCUAAUACAUGCAAGUCGAGCGAACGGACGAGAAGCUUGCUUCUCUGAUGUUAGCGGCGGACGGGUGAGUAACACGUGGAUAACCUACCUAUAAGACUGGGAUAACUUCGGGAAACCGGAGCUAAUACCGGAUAAUAUUUUGAACCGCAUGGUUCAAAAGUGAAAGACGGUCUUGCUGUCACUUAUAGAUGGAUCCGCGCUGCAUUAGCUAGUUGGUAAGGUAACGGCUUACCAAGGCAACGAUGCAUAGCCGACCUGAGAGGGUGAUCGGCCACACUGGAACUGAGACACGGUCCAGACUCCUACGGGAGGCAGCAGUAGGGAAUCUUCCGCAAUGGGCGAAAGCCUGACGGAGCAACGCCGCGUGAGUGAUGAAGGUCUUCGGAUCGUAAAACUCUGUUAUUAGGGAAGAACAUAUGUGUAAGUAACUGUGCACAUCUUGACGGUACCUAAUCAGAAAGCCACGGCUAACUACGUGCCAGCAGCCGCGGUAAUACGUAGGUGGCAAGCGUUAUCCGGAAUUAUUGGGCGUAAAGCGCGCGUAGGCGGUUUUUUAAGUCUGAUGUGAAAGCCCACGGCUCAACCGUGGAGGGUCAUUGGAAACUGGAAAACUUGAGUGCAGAAGAGGAAAGUGGAAUUCCAUGUGUAGCGGUGAAAUGCGCAGAGAUAUGGAGGAACACCAGUGGCGAAGGCGACUUUCUGGUCUGUAACUGACGCUGAUGUGCGAAAGCGUGGGGAUCAAACAGGAUUAGAUACCCUGGUAGUCCACGCCGUAAACGAUGAGUGCUAAGUGUUAGGGGGUUUCCGCCCCUUAGUGCUGCAGCUAACGCAUUAAGCACUCCGCCUGGGGAGUACGACCGCAAGGUUGAAACUCAAAGGAAUUGACGGGGACCCGCACAAGCGGUGGAGCAUGUGGUUUAAUUCGAAGCAACGCGAAGAACCUUACCAAAUCUUGACAUCCUUUGACAACUCUAGAGAUAGAGCUUUCCCCUUCGGGGGACAAAGUGACAGGUGGUGCAUGGUUGUCGUCAGCUCGUGUCGUGAGAUGUUGGGUUAAGUCCCGCAACGAGCGCAACCCUUAAGCUUAGUUGCCAUCAUUAAGUUGGGCACUCUAAGUUGACUGCCGGUGACAAACCGGAGGAAGGUGGGGAUGACGUCAAAUCAUCAUGCCCCUUAUGAUUUGGGCUACACACGUGCUACAAUGGACAAUACAAAGGGCAGCGAAACCGCGAGGUCAAGCAAAUCCCAUAAAGUUGUUCUCAGUUCGGAUUGUAGUCUGCAACUCGACUACAUGAAGCUGGAAUCGCUGGUAAUCGUGGAUCAGCAUGCUACGGUGAAUACGUUCCCGGGUCU